Molecule: long non-coding RNA, 726 nt
Organism: Pan troglodytes (chimpanzee)
Lineage: Eukaryota; Metazoa; Chordata; Mammalia; Primates; Hominidae
Exons: 2
Source: RefSeq, a predicted model, not a curated record
ACGGACCCUGUAGCUGGAGCAGAAGAAGCUUGAAUGCCUGUUUGGGGAAGAAAGCCUUUGCUGCCCGUCCUUAGGCCUCUCCUGUGAUAGGGGAAGAGGACAUAGAAACGCUGAGAGAGCCAGGGCCUCCGCUUCUCUGGAGUAUUCCCCCUUCUGUAAGUGGAAGGAAAGGAAGCGCAGCAGAAGGAUUGGAAUCAAGACAGCCUGGCUCCAGAGCCUGUUUUCAUAACUACGAGAGAAUGCACCAGAUUCCUUCUGAACGCCGCCUGCCACGUGCACGGCUACAACUCUAUUUCCAGCCAUGCUGUGGCAAGCAGUUCCGGGCGGGCUUCAGCUCCCUUUGCACCACCAGCACCUCGCCUCCUGUCAGCAUGAGGCAGUUUUCAUUUUCUGCCCAGGGGCUUCCGCAGCGCCCCAACACAAGGUUGGCAGAAGCGGGCUCAGCGGGAGGACUUGUGGAGGGAAGUUGCUUCCACUGAGCCAGCCUCAAUCUGGGGUGCACAGGCGCCACCAGGUAAAUGCUUCUGCCAGGCCGUCAUCUGACCCAUAAGAUCCCUCUGUGCACUGCUUGGAAGGUCCUGGCAGGGCUGAGCCCCAGCCACCCACGGCAGUGACCUAAUAAUGCACUGUUAUCUUGGCUCUUCUGCUUUCUCUUGUUUCCCACUCCUGUUCGUCCCUCAUUUCUGGUCCCUAGAAUGACUUCCAAAAUAAACUCCCUGUACACAA